This 207-nucleotide ribosomal RNA is filed under the name uncultured bacterium. Its description in RNAcentral is "partial 16S ribosomal RNA". It matches the Rfam family "Bacterial small subunit ribosomal RNA", at positions 568 to 774 of the family's 1533-position model. The record is from RNAcentral.
UGCGCAGGCGGUUGGGUGUGUCAGAUGUGAAAUCCCGAGGCUCAACCUCGGAACUGCGUCUGAAACUACUCGACUAGAGUACUGGAGAGGGAAACGGAAUUCACGGUGUAGCAGUGAAAUGCGUAGAUAUCGUGAGGAACACCAGAGGCGAAGGCGGUUUCCUGGACAGUUACUGACGCUCAGGCACGAAAGCAUGGGGAGCAAAAG